GAUGAACGCUGGCGGCGUGCCUAAUACAUGCAAGUCGAGCGAACGGACGAGAAGCUUGCUUUUCUGAUGUUAGCGGCGGACGGGUGAGUAACACGUGGAUAACCUACCUAUAAGACUGGGAUAACUUCGGGAAACCGGAGCUAAUACCGGAUAAUAUUUUGAACCGCAUGGUUCAAAAGUGAAAGACGGUCUUGCUGUCACUUAUAGAUGGAUCCGCGCUGCAUUAGCUAGUUGGUAAGGUAACGGCUUACCAAGGCAACGAUGCAUAGCCGACCUGAGAGGGUGAUCGGCCACACUGGAACUAAGCCACGGUCCAGACUCCUACGGGAGGCAGCAGUAGGGAAUCUUCCGAAAUGGGCGAAAGCCUGACGGAGCAACGCCGCGUGAGUGAUGAAGGUCUUCGGAUCGUAAAACUCUGUUAUUAGGGAAGAACAUAUGUGUAAGUAACUGUGCACAUCUUGACGGUACCUAAUCAGAAAGCCACGGCUAACUACGUG
RNAcentral lists this ribosomal RNA (497 nucleotides) under uncultured bacterium. Its description in RNAcentral is "partial 16S ribosomal RNA". It matches the Rfam family "Bacterial small subunit ribosomal RNA", at positions 28 to 507 of the family's 1533-position model. The record is from RNAcentral.